Molecule: long non-coding RNA, 1583 nt
Filed under: Piliocolobus tephrosceles (Ugandan red Colobus)
Lineage: Eukaryota; Metazoa; Chordata; Mammalia; Primates; Cercopithecidae
Description: lncRNA (ENSPTEG00000009763.1)
Source: RNAcentral
UCAUUUAAUAUAUAUCAUUUAAUAUAUAUAUAUAUAUAUAUAUAAAUUUUCAAGAAUAAAAGGGAAAAUGGUUUUAACUGUACAUAAGAAAUCAAAAUUAAACACCUCUUGGACGUAUUACAAUAACAGGGAUCCUUAUAGAAGGAGAGUAUAUAAUUACUAUUACGGAUACAACAAAUAUAAGGGCUAUAACUAUUAUUCUAAAUUUCCAUAUGAAGAGAAAUUACAUAAUCGAGGUGAAUAUCAAAUCAAUGAUAAGAAAAAGAAAAGGUAUAAAGAAAUAAAUACGACAAAAGUUCAUAACAAUUUAGAACAUUAUGAAUCAGGAACAGAAACCGAACAUAAUAAAGAGGAAAUGAAUAAAGAUAUGAAUAAAAAAAAAAGUAUUAUAAAAAUACUUCAAAGACCAUCAGAAACUGUGAAGAAUGAAGAUAAAACCAUAAACGUAUUAAAUACUAUAUUUGAUAAAACUAGCAACAAUCGAACUGAAAAAAAUAACAAUAUUGAAAACAGUGAUAACAAUAACACAAGUAAAGAAAUAAACGUAGAUAAAAAGGAAAAAAAAAGUAAAAAGAAGAUAACCCAUGAAACUUCAAAAAAGUUAAAAAAAGUUGUAGAUAGUUUUAAAUUUACAUCAACACAAGAAUUAUUGAAUCUACUUAUUAGUGAUGCUAAAGAUAAUUCUCAUGAUAAGGAUAGUAAUAAAGAAGAAAGUAAAACACGUGUUGAUGAUACUGUACAAGAACAACAUAAUGAACUUAAUAAGGAAAAAAGGAAUAGCUCAAAAGAUAACAUUAUUAAAAAGAGCAAAUCUGGACAUGAAAAAAAGAUAACUAGUAACUUAGGAAUGAUAGAUGAGAAGAAAGAAAAUAAAAGACAUGAUAAGAUAGUACAAAAUGGAACAGAUAAAGAACAAAAAACUAUUAAAGAAUUAGAUGAAAUUAAAAAGAACGACAGAGAAAAUGCGUUGUUAACACAAAUGAAUAGUAGUGGUAUUUUAGGGAAACAUAUGAAUUAUAACAGUAACAACAUUUUGAAUAGUAAUGGGAACAAAAAUUAUGGUAGCACUCAUUAUGGAAAUAAUAAAUACGGAAACAACAAUUAUGGAAACUGUAUUAACGGGGGCAAUAGUUUUAAUAAUAAUAUAAAUAUGAGAAGUUAUGGUAUGAAUAAUUAUAAUACUGUAGAUCAUUAUAGUAUGAACACGUACGGUAUGAACACAUAUGGUAUGAAUAAUUACAGUUUGAAUAAUUACAGUAUGAAUAAUUACAAUAGUUGUAACUAUAAUUAUAACAAUAGUUAUUAUAAUAAUGUUAUGAAAAAUAAUUAUAGUAUUAAAGACAAGUUUUUAGCAGGUAAAAUUCUUCGUAGUACUUCACGAAUAAAAACAUUAACUAACCUUAAACAAUUUGAAAACGCUUCCAAAUUAUUUAAGAAUAAAAACGCAUAUAACAUUAACAACUCUACUGGUAAUAAGAAUAACAACUUAAUGAACACUGAACAUAUGAAUUUAUAUGAUAAUAAAAACUUUUUAAAAUUAUUGAGAAAUAGUAACAAUAAUAAUAUUAAUAAUAAUACUAUGG